GGAGUUGUGGCUCAGUGGUAGACCACUUGCCUAGCAUGUAUGAGGCACUGGGUUUGAUUCUCAGCACUGCA
Molecule: transfer RNA, 71 nt
Filed under: Marmota monax (woodchuck)
Lineage: Eukaryota; Metazoa; Chordata; Mammalia; Rodentia; Sciuridae
Description: tRNA.Ala
Source: RNAcentral